RNAcentral lists this long non-coding RNA (761 nucleotides) under Homo sapiens (human). Its description in RNAcentral is "HSALNT0232996". The record is from RNAcentral. Lineage: Eukaryota; Metazoa; Chordata; Mammalia; Primates; Hominidae.
GCCGGGGCAGCGCUUUCCUGAAGGGCAGCGGGGCUGCAAUCCAGAAGGGAGAUGGGAAGGGGGCCGCUCCAGGACCCACGAAACUACAACUCCCAGAGGACCGAAGCGCCUUAAAGACAGAGGCCCGUUUUCUGGGACUCCGGGAUCCAGGUUAAUAGGUUAAUGUGUAGCUUUUUUGUUUGUUUUCUCGUUUGGGUUUUUUUUUUUUUUUUUUUUUAACACCUUCUGGACGGCACCAGGAGCUUCCGCUUUCCUCUGGAGAAAAAUCCACUGAUGGAGGAAAAAAAAAAAUCACGCUUUGCCCAAGCGGAAGCAGCUGCCAUUCGAUUUGCAGUUGGAAAGGCCAGGCACGGUGGCUCGCACCUGUAGUCCCAGCCCUUUGGUGAGGCCGAGGCGGGUGGAUCAUGAGGUCGGGAGUUGAAGACCAGCCUGGCCAAUAUGGUGAAACCCCGUCUACUAAAAAUACAAAAAUUAGCUGAGCGUGGUGGCGCGCACCUGUAGUCCCAGCAGCUUGGGAGGCUGAGGAAGGAGAAUCGCUUGAACCCGGGAGGCAGAGGUUGCAGUGAGCUGAGAUUGCACCACUGCACUCCAGCCUGGGCAACACAGUGAGGCCCUGUCUAAAAAAAAAAAAAAAAUUCCUCUUUCCCCAAUAUCUGACCUUUCCCCUUUAAAUAUUGAAGCCCUCAAAAUCAUCUUUGGAGAAAGGUACAGACCUGUCUCCCAGGUGCACACAUUCUUAACUUUGGCAAAAUAAACUUGUA